AACGGUAACGAUGCUAGCUUGCUAGCAGGCGACGAGUGGCGGACGGGUGAGUAACACGUGGGAAUCUACCGAGUAGCGGGGGAUAGCCCGGAGAAAUCCGGAUUAAUACCGCAUGUGCACUACGGUGUAAAGAGGGCCUCUAUUUAUAAGCUUUCACUAUUCGAUGAGCCUGCGUCAGAUUAGCUAGUUGGUGGGGUAAUGGCCUACCAAGGCGACGAUCUGUAGCUGGUCUGAGAGGAUGAUCAGCCACACUGGGACUGAGACACGGCCCAGACUCCUACGGGAGGCAGCAGUGGGGAAUAUUGGACAAUGGGCGCAAGCCUGAUCCAGCAAUACCGCGUGUGUGAAGAAGGCCUUCGGGUUGUAAAGCACUUUCAGCGAGGAGGAAGGCCAAGUAGUUAAUACCUGCUUGGAUUGACGUUACUCGCAGAAGAAGCACCGGCUAACUCCGUGCCAGCAGCCGCGGUAAUACGGAGGGUGCAAGCGUUAAUCGGAAUUACUGGGCGUAAAGCGCGCGUAGGCGGAUGAUUAAGUCAGAUGUGAAAGCCCAGGGCUUAACCUUGGAACUGCAUUUGAUACUGGUCAUCUAGAGUACAGAAGAGGGGGGUGGAAUUCCAGGUGUAGCGGUGAAAUGCGUAGAGAUCUGGAGGAACAUCAGUGGCGAAGGCGACCCCCUGGGCUGAUACUGACGCUGAGGUGCGAAAGCGUGGGUAGCGAACAGGAUUAGAUACCCUGGUAGUCCACGCCGUAAACGAUGUCUAUUAGCUGUUGGGUAUAUUAAGAUACUUAGUGGCGCAGCUAACGCGAUAAAUAGACCGCCUGGGGAGUACGGCCGCAAGGUUAAAACUCAAAUGAAUUGACGGGGGCCCGCACAAGCGGUGGAGCAUGUGGUUUAAUUCGAUGCAACGCGAAGAACCUUACCAGGUCUUGACAUCCAGAGAACUUUCCAGAGAUGGAUUGGUGCCUUCGGGAACUCUGUGACAGGUGCUGCAUGGCUGUCGUCAGCUCGUGUCGUGAAAUGUUGGGUUAAGUCCCGUAACGAGCGCAACCCUUGUCCUUAGUUGCUAACAUUAAGUUGAGAACUCUAAGGAGACUGCCGGUGACAAACCGGAAGAAGGUGGGGACGACGUCAAGUCAUCAUGGCCCUUACGACCU
Molecule: ribosomal RNA, 1155 nt
Filed under: Kangiella sp.
Lineage: Bacteria; Pseudomonadati; Pseudomonadota; Gammaproteobacteria; Kangiellales; Kangiellaceae
Description: bacterial SSU rRNA
Rfam family: Bacterial small subunit ribosomal RNA
Source: RNAcentral